UGGGUGUUAGGAUUUAGGUUCCCCU
This 25-nucleotide non-coding RNA is filed under the name Rattus norvegicus (Norway rat). Lineage: Eukaryota; Metazoa; Chordata; Mammalia; Rodentia; Muridae. The record is from RNAcentral.